UAAGGGAUAUUGCACAAUGGCCGCAAGCCUGAUGCAGCAACGCCGCGUGCAUGAUGAAGGCCUUCGGGUCGUAAAAUGCUUUUCUGACUGAAGAGGAAGGACAGUAAGUCAGGAAUAAGUGUCGGCUAACUUCGUG
RNAcentral lists this ribosomal RNA (136 nucleotides) under uncultured bacterium. RNAcentral describes it as "partial 16S ribosomal RNA". It matches the Rfam family "Bacterial small subunit ribosomal RNA", at positions 355 to 507 of the family's 1533-position model. The record is from RNAcentral.